GUCCCUGUAGCGCAAUGGAUAGUGCGUUGGGAUACUAAUCCAAAGGUCGUGCGUUAGUAUCCCACCUGGGACG
RNAcentral lists this transfer RNA (73 nucleotides) under Trichonephila inaurata madagascariensis. It matches the Rfam family "tRNA". From Rfam's summary of the family: Transfer RNA (tRNA) molecules are approximately 80 nucleotides in length. Their secondary structure includes four short double-helical elements and three loops (D, anti-codon, and T loops). The record is from Rfam by way of RNAcentral. Lineage: Eukaryota; Metazoa; Arthropoda; Arachnida; Araneae; Nephilidae.